This 65-nucleotide transfer RNA is filed under the name Turritella bacillum. Its description in RNAcentral is "tRNA-Ala". Lineage: Eukaryota; Metazoa; Mollusca; Gastropoda; Turritellidae. The record is from RNAcentral.
UGGCUUGGAGGCUAAUAGCCUAUUUUUUGAGUGCAAAUCAAGUCUUUUUCUUAAAGUACCAGGCC